GAUGAAGAACGUAGCGAAAUGCGAUAAGUAAUGUGAAUUGCAGAAUUCCGUGAAUCAUCGAAUCUUUGAACGCACCUUGCGCUCCUUGGUAUUCCGAGGAGCAUGCCUGUUUGAGUGUCAUUAAAUUCUCAACCCCCUCCAGCUUUUGUUGGCUGGUCUGGUGGCUUGGAUUGUGGGGGUUAUCUUGCAGGCCUCUUCUGUUGUUGAGGUCAGCUCCCCUGAAAUGCAUUAGCGGAACUGUUUGCGAUCCGUCACAGGUGUGAUAGUUAUCUACGCCAAAGACGAUGAACGCUCUCUAUCUGUUCAGCUUCUAAUCGUCCCCACUGUGUGGACAACUUUUGAAACACUUGACCUCAAAUCAGGUAGGACUACCCGCUGAACUUAAGCAUAUCAAUAAGCGGAGGA
RNAcentral lists this unclassified non-coding RNA (405 nucleotides) under soil metagenome. Its description in RNAcentral is "partial contains 5.8S ribosomal RNA, internal transcribed spacer 2, and large subunit ribosomal RNA". The stretch from base 1 to 120 matches the Rfam family "5.8S ribosomal RNA", at positions 35 to 154 of the family's 154-position model. The record is from RNAcentral.